RNAcentral lists this ribosomal RNA (1000 nucleotides) under uncultured bacterium. RNAcentral describes it as "bacterial SSU rRNA". It matches the Rfam family "Bacterial small subunit ribosomal RNA", at positions 355 to 1375 of the family's 1533-position model. The record is from RNAcentral.
UGGGGGAUAUUGCGCAAUGGGGGCAACCCUGACGCAGCAACGCCGCGUGAAGGAUGAAGGUUUUCGGAUUGUAAACUUCUUUUAUUAAGGACGAAACUUGACGGUACUUAAUGAAUAAGCUCCGGCUAACUACGUGCCAGCAGCCGCGGUAAUACGUAGGGAGCAAGCGUUGUCCGGAUUUACUGGGUGUAAAGGGUGCGUAGGCGGCUUUGCAAGUCAGAUGUGAAAUCUAUGGGCUCAACCCAUAAACUGCAUUUGAAACUGUAGAGCUUGAGUGAAGUAGAGGCAGGCGGAAUUCCCCGUGUAGCGGUGAAAUGCGUAGAGAUGGGGAGGAACACCAGUGGCGAAGGCGGCCUGCUGGGCUUUAACUGACGCUGAGGCACGAAAGCGUGGGUAGCAAACAGGAUUAGAUACCCUGGUAGUCCACGCUGUAAACGAUGAUUACUAGGUGUGGGGGGUCUGACCCCUUCCGUGCCGGAGUUAACACAAUAAGUAAUCCACCUGGGGAGUACGGCCGCAAGGUUGAAACUCAAAGGAAUUGACGGGGGCCCGCACAAGCAGUGGAGUAUGUGGUUUAAUUCGAAGCAACGCGAAGAACCUUACCAGGUCUUGACAUCCAACUAACGAAGUAGAGAUACAUUAGGUGCCCUUCGGGGAAAGUUGAGACAGGUGGUGCAUGGUUGUCGUCAGCUCGUGUCGUGAGAUGUUGGGUUAAGUCCCGCAACGAGCGCAACCCUUGCUAUUAGUUGCUACGCAAGAGCACUCUAAUAGGACUGCCGUUAACAAAACGGAGGAAGGUGGGGACGACGUCAAAUCAUCAUGCCCCUUAUGACCUGGGCUACACACGUACUACAAUGGAUGUUAACAGAGGGAAGCAAAACAGCGAUGUGGAGCAAACCCCUAAAAACAUUCUCAGUUCAGAUUGCAGGCUGCAACCCGCCUGCAUGAAGAUGGAAUUGCUAGUAAUCGCGGAUCAGCAUGCCGCGGUGAAUACGUUCCC